RNAcentral lists this ribosomal RNA (755 nucleotides) under uncultured bacterium. RNAcentral describes it as "bacterial SSU rRNA". It matches the Rfam family "Bacterial small subunit ribosomal RNA", at positions 1 to 763 of the family's 1533-position model. The record is from RNAcentral.
UCGCGCGAUCGCCUUGAGUUUGAUCAUGGCUCAGAAUCAACGCUGGCGGCGUGCCUCAGACAUGCAAGUCGAACGAUUAAAGCUCCCUUCGGGGAGUGCAUAAAGUGGCGCACGGGUGAGUAACACGUAAGUAAUCUACCCUCGGGUGGGGAAUAACAUCGGGAAACCGAUGCUAAUACCGCAUAAUGCAGCGGCACCGCAAGGUGACAGUUGUUAAAGGUUUAUUGCCUGGGGAGGAGCUUGCGGCAGAUUAGCUUGUUGGUAAGGUAACGGCUUACCAAGGCUACGAUCUGUAUCCGGUCUAAGAGGACGGUCGGACACACUGACACUGAAUAACGGGUCAGACUCCUACGGGAGGCAGCAGUCGGGAAUUUUGGGCAAUGGGGGAAACCCUGACCCAGCAACGCCGCGUGAAGGAUGAAGUAUUUCGGUAUGUAAACUUCGAAAGAAUAGGAAGAAUUAAUGACGGUACUAUUUAUAAGGUCCGGCUAACUACGUGCCAGCAGCCGCGGUAAUACGUAGGGACCAAGCGUUGUUCGGAUUUACUGGGCGUAAAGGGCGCGUAGGCGGCGCGGUAAGUCACUUGUGAAAUCUCUGAGCUUAACUCAGAACGGCCAAGUGAUACUGCAGUGCUAGAGUGUGGAAGGGGCAAUCGGAAUUCUUGGUGUAGUGGUGAAAUGCGUAGAUAUCAAGAGGAACACCUGAGGUGAAGACGGGUUGCUGGGCCAACACUGACGCUGAGGCGCGAAAGCCAG